RNA transcript from Spinacia oleracea (spinach), 7743 nucleotides. It is a transcript of the gene named helicase and polymerase-containing protein TEBICHI, with no coding region annotated. The record is from RefSeq and is a predicted model, not a curated record. The transcript is spliced from 27 exons. NCBI's taxonomy places the organism in Eukaryota, Viridiplantae, Streptophyta, Magnoliopsida, Caryophyllales, Amaranthaceae.
AAGCAAGACUUGAGCUCAAAUUCCUUCAAACAGAAUUCUUGUUUUGUCCCUCCCUACCCUACAAAGUACCCGACUUGAAAUUUUGGCUCCUAUACUAGUUCUGUAGAAGAUGGCGGUCUUUCGAGCAUUUGAAGUUUGAAUGUCAUUUCUCCACGCUCACUUUCAAUGUUUCACUAGGCCAAUUUCCCUUUCUUCCCCAAAAUUUCCAAUUUAGGGUUCCGGUGAACCCUCCAGUUCAAUUCGAUUAUGGAUUCCGACGCACCUCGUACCCGCAUUGAUCAGUUUUAUGCGUCAAAGAAAAAGAAAAUAUUUUCACCAAAGACUGCUAAAGAUUCAUCGCCUAGUGCAAAAGGGACAUUGGAAAACUAUUUGGUGACUUCACAAAAUGAUUCAGUGAAAAGAAGUUUGGCAUUGGAGAUUGAUUUAUCUGCCAAAAAUGAAAUUAAAGAGAUCCUUUUGCCGAGUGAUGGUACUGUUAGGGAAUCAAUUUCAUCUGAAGCGGUUCCAGGAAGUGAGUCCGGAGCCGGAAAUGCCGGUGGUGGAGCAGGUCGGCAGGAUAUUCCGGACCAAGUUCAAGGCCCUGAGAACGCAGAGCUUAACAAGUUUGCUAUGGACUUUUUAUCGUUGUAUUGCAGUGGAAUUCAAUCAAGCUCGCUUUCUGAGCAAAAACCAAAUGAGCAUAAAAGAAGGGGGAGUCCGUCAGUGCUUAUAGCAGAAGGUGCAGAGUCCAAGAAAAGGCACUAUGCUGCUGAUAAUGAAAUAUCACAGCCGGAUCAUCAGACACCAAGUUGCGAUAAAAGAGCUCUUGGUCUUGUGCAGUGCAGCAAUUUUCUUGAAAAGGCGGAAAAAGUUGCCAACUCUGCCGUAGAAGUUGACUGUGAUGAAGAUUUGUCUAAGCCACAAGCCAGCUUAAGAAAAUGCAAUAAAACUACAAAUUCAACCUCAUCGGUGAACGAGUUUUCCACACCUGCCACAUUUUGUAAAAGUUCGAGUGCACGUGAAACUCCCGUAUCAACUCGUGGAAGCUCCAUCUUUUCACCAGGAGAAGCAUUCUGGAACGAGGCAAUUCAAGUUGUUGAUGGCUUGUUUCCUCAAACUGGUAACAGGUUUUCUCAGGAUGCAGACGAUGCAGGUAUCACUAUCAACAAGACACUAGGUGAAGGGAGUUCAAAUAUAUUCGAUGUACCAAUUGAUAUUGAUGCUAGCAGUUCUAAGCAGACCGGGUUAACUACUACAUUGUCAGAGAAAUAUGUGGAAAAUCUGGAAAUAGAAGCAUCCCCAUUGCCUGUUAAGCAUUUUGAUUUCUCAUGUGAUGACAAAAAUGUGGACAGAAGUAUGCCAAUUCAUAUUUCUUCAGUAAACAAAGAAGAUCAUAAAGAUGGUGCAGUAUGCAAAUUUGCAGAUCACGAGAGGCCACUAGAUAAAAAUGCUGGAACUGGCAGUGAAGUUCAGUUACAUACAUUAGCACAUAAAGUAUUGGAGGAAGUAGCUCCUGUGUUUGUAUCUGAAAAAAGGAGGCAUAGUUUAUUUAGUUCGGAGAGUGACAAAAAAAGUUAUGACUUACAUAACAGGGAAAAUGCUAACUUUGGGGCUCCCGGUAUCUCUGAUGGAUCUGGUACUCCUUCAAGUUGCAUGCCUUUGGAGGAUCGGCUAGACCUGAGCAACUGGCUGCCUCCUGAGAUAUGUCGCAUUUAUAGACGCAAAGGAAUACCUAAACUCUAUCCUUGGCAGGUUGAUUGUCUUCAAAUGGAUGGUGUUUUGCAGAAGAGAAAUCUUGUUUAUUGUGCAUCUACGAGUGCCGGAAAAAGUUUUGUUGCUGAGAUCCUGAUGUUGCGACGUGUCAUACACUCUGGAAAAAUUGCUCUGCUUGUGCUACCUUAUGUUUCUAUCUGUGUUGAAAAGGCAGAACAUCUUGAGGUCCUGUUGGAACCCCUUGGCAAGCAUGUUCGCAGCUAUUACGGGAAUCAAGGUGGUGGGUCACUUCCAAAAGAUACAUCAGUAGCUGUCUGUACUAUAGAGAAGGCCAACUCGUUAGUUAACAGAUUGCUUGAAGAAGAUAGAUUAUCAGAAGUGGGAAUUAUCGUGAUUGAUGAACUGCACAUGGUUGCUGAUCCUGGCAGGGGUUAUCUGUUAGAGCUUCUAUUGACAAAGCUCCGCUACGCAUCUGGUGAAGGUAAUAGUGAAUCAUGCAGCGGAGAAAGUUCAGGCACAAGUAGCGGUAAAGGUGACAUAACUCAAGGUCUGCAAAUUGUUGGGAUGAGUGCUACAAUGCCAAACGUGGCAGCAGUUGCCGAAUGGCUUCAUGCGGCAUUAUACCAGACUGAGUUUCGUCCAGUACCUUUGGAGGAAUUUAUAAAAGUGGGCAGCAAUAUCUAUGACAAAAAGAUGGAAAUUGUUAGGACUAUUCCUAAGUCAGCGGAUCUUGGAGGGAAAGAUCCAGAUCAUGUUGUGGAAUUAUGCAAUGAGGUUGUUCAAGAUGGUAAUUCUGUACUCAUUUUCUGUUCAAGUCGGAAAGGAUGUGAAUCUACAGCCAAGCAUAUCUCAUUGUAUCUCAAGAAGUUCUCUGCCAAAAUCCAAGAAGGGUCGAGUGACUUUAUUGAUGUUUUUUCAGCCAUUGAUGCCUUGAGAAGGUGUCCUGUGGGUUUAGAUCCCGUGUUGGAGCAAACUCUCCCUUCUGGUGUUGCCUAUCAUCAUGCUGGCCUCACGGUUGAGGAAAGAGACAUUGUUGAAACCUGCUAUCGUAAAGGAUUAGUACGUGUCCUAACUGCCACAUCUACUCUAGCUGCUGGUGUUAAUUUACCUGCUAGGAGAGUCAUAUUUCGUCAACCAAAAAUCGGUCGUGAUUUCCUUGAUGGGACAAGGUACAAACAAAUGGCUGGUAGAGCUGGUCGAACCGGUAUAGAUGCAAAAGGAGAAAGUGUACUUCUUUGUAGACCUGAAGAAGUUAAGAGAAUAAAAGCCCUUAUGAACGACAGUUGUCCACCUCUGCAAUCUUGUCUUUCAGAAGAUAAAAAUGGAAUGACUCAUGCUAUCCUGGAAGUCGUGGCCAGUGGAAUUGUUCAAACAGCUAAUGAUAUUCACCGAUACGUGAGGUGUACGCUCCUUAAUUCUACAAAGCCAUUUGAAGAUGUUGUCAAAUCAGCACAAGAUUCUCUUAAGUGGUUGUGUCAUAAAAAAUUCCUUGAGUGGAAUAAUGAUACUAAGUUAUACAGUACCACUCCUCUGGGAAGAGCAGCUUUUGGCAGUUCUCUGUCUCCAGAAGAAUCCCUUAUUGUUCUGGAUGAUCUUUCACGUGCAAGAGAAGGAUUUGUGUUAGCAUCUGAUCUUCAUUUGGUUUAUUUGGCAACACCAAUAAAUGUUGAAGUUGAGCCUGACUGGGAACUGUUUUAUGAACGAUUUAUGGAGCUGUCUUCCAUAGACCAGUCAGUUGGCAACCGUGUUGGAGUUAUAGAGCCAUUUUUGAUGCGAAUGGCACAUGGGGCACCUGUGCGUACUGCAAAUCAUUCUAGAAAUGAUAUCAAAGGAUUGCAUAGCCGAAUAGAUUCCCUACUAGGAGUCUCAAAAAGUAAUACCCUCUCAAAUGAGCAGUCUCUUCGUGUGUGCCGACGAUUUUACGUUGCCCUCAUCUUGUCACGAUUGGUGCAGGAACUACCUGUAGGUGAGGUUUGUGCAGCCUUCAAAGUAGCACGGGGAAUGGUUCAAGCUUUACAAGAAAAUGCCGGAAGAUUUGCAUCUAUGGUCUCUGUAUUUUGUGAGAGACUUGGUUGGCUUGAUCUGGAAGGCCUAGUAGCUAAAUUUCAAAAUCGUGUGUCAUUUGGAGUGAGAGCAGAGAUUGUAGAGCUUACUACUAUCCCGUAUGUAAAGGGCUCCCGGGCUAGAGCAUUAUACAAAGCUGGCUUGCGUACUCCUUUGGCAAUUGCUGAAGCAUCUGUUGCAGAAAUAGCAAAGGCUCUCUUUGAAUCGUCAUCUUGGGCUGCGUCAGAAAAUCUAGCACAGCGACGUGUUCAUUUGGGGAUAGCGAAGAAGAUUAAGAAUGGUGCAAGAAAAAUUGUCCUUGAUAAAGCUGAGGAGGCGAGAGCUGCUGCAUUCUCAGCAUUCCAAUCACUUGGACUGAAUGUUCCCCAACUUUCUCAUCCUGUCUUGUUACCUGCCUCUGGUGACCUUAUUGACACUGACGCAGUGACCCACUCCUCUGGAGAAAAUAGUACCAGUAGCUCUUCUGAUCAUAAAAGAAAGCAUAUUUCAACUGAAUUAGUUGAAAGACGGGGGAAUGAAUGUGCUCCAAAUUCUGAUGUUGGAAGGCCGGCAAAAAAACUAGUUACUGGCUUGGAAAUUUCAGCUGAAAAAAAGGCAGUUAAUUCCUUUCCUGGUGUUCUUGCCAUUCGAGCUUCUUCUACAUCAGAUAAAGAUUUUGUUCCAGUUAAGGGCACAACACCGAUUCCUUGUUUGGGUCAGAAUGAAACCAUGCCAUGUGUAGGAGUUAUGAAUGAGGAAGACCGGAAAUGGGAGAAAAAUAAUGUGUGCAGUGGUAGCAAUAAGCAACGUUCUAAUGACAAAGGUCCCAUUAAUGUAAUUAGUGCAAGCAGUUUGGAUGCCCUUUUGGAUGUCUUGGAAUCUGUUGGAGAUUUUUAUUUUGAUAUUCACUUCAACAAAAAGUCUGAAGUGAACUCUAUGGUUGCUUAUGAAGUACUUGGCCUUGCCAUCUGCUGGGAAAAUUCACCUGUGUAUUAUGUCAAUCUUACUAAGAUUUUACAGAACAGCAAUGUUGACUCAUGCAACAAUUCCGGGCAAGUAAAUUCAAUUGAUGCAAACAUUUUGUCAGUUCCAGAAAAUCUCCGGUGGAUGAGGAUUGGUAGGUUACUAGGGAGGAUGGAUGUUCGAAAAUUUACUUGGAAUUUAAAACAUCAAAUCAUGGUGUUGAAAAAUGCUGUUCUUUCACUGAAUAAAAACAGCCUGAGUCAGACAUUAAAAAGUACAGCCAUUGAACUUGUUGAUGGUUCGUUCUUUAGGUUGCCCAAGGUUAUUCUGCAAAAUGGAAUUGACAUCUGUAUAGUAGCCUGGAUCCUUUGGCCUGACGAGGAGAGAAGCUCUAAUCCAAGUCUUGAGAAGGAAGUUAAGAAGCGUUUAACGAGUGAGGCAGCAGCAGCAGCUAAUCAGAGUGGUAGGUGGAAAAAUCAGAUGCGAAGAGCUGCACAUAAUGGUUGUUGUCGCCGUGCUGCUCAAAUACGGGCCCUACAGUGUGUUCUUUGGAAAUUGCUUACUUCUGAAGAACUUGUUGAUGCACUUUUGGGCAUUGAACUUCCCUUGGUUCAUGUCCUUGCAGAAAUGGAGGACCAGGGAAUGGGCGUUGACAUGGAAGGUUGCCUCAAGGCACGACAUUUGCUUAGUAAAAAGCUCAAGAUUCUUGAAAAGGAAGCUUACAAACAUGCUGGCAAGGUGUUUUCUCUGUAUAUGCCAGCAGAUAUUGCCAAUGUGCUCUAUGAACACUUGAAGCUCCCAAUACCUGAGGGGCACAACAAAGGAAAACAGCAUGCGAGCACAGACAAACAUUGUUUGGACGCUCUAAGGCUUGAGCACCCUAUUGUUCCGGUAAUAAAGGAGCAUCGAACAUUAUCAAAGCUCCUUAAUUGUACAUUAGGAUCAAUAUGUUCUUUAGCAAAGUUGUCUAUGAAGACGCAGAGGUAUACACUGCAUGGUCGUUGGCUCCAGACAUCAACAGCAACAGGACGACUUUCGAUGGAGGAACCUAAUCUUCAGUGUGUUGAACAUAUGGUUGAAUUUAGAAUGCAUCAAAAUGGUGACGUGCAAUGUGAUUCUGAUGGUACAGAUUAUAAAAUCAACGCACGUGAUUAUUUUAUUCCCACUGAGGAAAACUGGCUACUUUUAACAGCAGAUUAUUCUCAGAUAGAACUGAGGUUGAUGGCUCACUUCUCUAAGGACCCUUCUCUAAUUGAACUACUCAGUGAUCCGCAUGGUGAUGCCUUUACCAUGGUUGCAUCUAGAUGGACGGGCAAGCUAGAAUCCAAUGUGAGCUCUCAAGAGAGAGACCAAACCAAAAGACUAGUGUAUGGCAUUCUUUACGGCAUGGGUGCUAAUACUCUUGCUGAGCAGCUGCAUUGCAGUGCAGAUGAAGCUAAAGCAAAAAUCCAAAGUUUCAAAAAUUCUUUCCCUGGCGUUGCUUCUUGGCUUCAUGAGGCUGUUGCAUUCUGCCGUCAACGAGGAUAUGUGCAGACUCUUAAGGGUAGAAAACGCUUCUUAUCAAAAAUACAAUUUGGCGAUGGCAAGGAGAAAGCUAAAGCUCAGAGACAAGCUGUGAAUUCAAUAUGUCAGGGUUCUGCAGCUGACAUAAUUAAGAUAGCAAUGAUCAACAUCUAUUCUGUAAUUGCUGAAUCUGAGACACAUAGUUCUACUGAUGCACUUGUGACAAAAUUUUCUAUGCUCAAGGGCCGCUGCCAUAUUCUGUUGCAGGUGCAUGAUGAGUUGGUUAUGGAAGUUGAUCCGUCAGUUUUAAGGGAGGCUGGGUUAUUGCUGAAGAUGUGCAUGGGGAGUGCUGCUUCUCUUUUAGUCCCUCUACAAGUAAAGGUGAAGGUUGGCAGGACUUGGGGUUCAUUGGAGCCUUUCACUGUCAAUGACGCCGGAGGAUAAAAGUGCUUUAUAUUCGAAGUUUCUCCAUCCCGGUGGCAACCCAGUGGGGCCCAAUUUUGGCCGGUGUUUCGUGUUGGAUCGCAAAGGAUAUUACCUCUCUGAAAUGCAAUGAAGGAGAAACGCGCUGAAAACUUGAGAUAGACAAGUUACACCACCACAUUCCUCCAUGUGUCCCUCCAUUGGCUGGGUGUGGCCGUGUAGGCCUGGUUAUUGGUCGGGUCAGCGUCAGGGUCGGUGCGGGUCAAAAGCGGGUCGAGUAAUGAAAGGGUCAAUUUUAGCGGAUUAAUAAUGGGCGGGUCAAUAGCGGGAUAUUUUGCAUGGAGGCAAGCUCUGAGGCCUUACUGCGAGCCUUUGGUGCAUGAAUGUCUUUACCAAUGUUCCACGCAACAAACCUUCAUGACAAACAAGCUGCCUCAUCUGAUGAUAAAUUGAUAAUCAGAUGCCUCUUGGAAUUACCUGAGGCUUGAGAUGAACUUGAUGUUUGGUUUGACAUUGAGGCUUGAUUUGUGUCUUGAUUAACUAAUGUUCCCGACGAUUCAUUAGAUUCGUGGGUUGGAGGUGUUGUAGAAGAUUUAUUGAAAUCUUCAUAAGAUGAUUGGUUUGAUUCUGAUGUUUGACUUGAGGCUUUGGUUGAUCCUUUUUCUGGAGAUAUACUUGGUGUUGGACCUGAAGAUGUUGUAGAGGAUUGAUCAUCAACUUGAUUUGUUCCUUCUGUUGGACUCGUAGUUGGGCUUGAUUCUUGAGUUGACAUAUUAGAAGAAUGAUUAGACCCUUUACUUGAGUAUUGUGAUGACUCUGAUGCUUGACUUGAGUGAUGGCCAGACACAUGACUUGAAUAUUUUCCAGAAUCCUGAGUUGAUGCUUGAUUAUAAGCUUGAUGAGACCUUGAGAAUUGGCUAGAAUGUUCACCCGACCACUUACUCGACGCUUGACUUGAUGAUGAAGAACUAAAAUGUCCAUCAUUUGCAUCACCAAUUCCUACUUCUUUAUUUGUAUUAAAAUCGGAGUUUCCGGAAUCUCUGGCUCCAACGUAACUUUUAAAUUUAAUCAUUGAGUUUCCGUCCAAUUGUGCAUUACCUUCUUGAUUGCUAUUUUCUA